Molecule: long non-coding RNA, 4278 nt
Filed under: Sus scrofa (pig)
Lineage: Eukaryota; Metazoa; Chordata; Mammalia; Artiodactyla; Suidae
Description: lncRNA (ENSSSCG00060001471.1)
Source: RNAcentral
GGAGGAGGUAGAGCGAGCCAGGAACGGAGAAGCACCCCGCUCCGCUCUGCGCUCCCCUUUCCAGGGCGAGCAGAAGGUGCUGCGCAGGCUCCGGCUGCCCGCGCCCCCGGGGCACAGAGGCCGGCGAGGGGGGCAGCCGAAGGCCUGGAUCGCCUGGCCCGCGCUUUCCGGGGAGCCAUCGAAGGCUCCAAGGCCUCACCCGCCGCGAUGCCAACUUUCUAGAAAAGGCCGCGUCCCGGCCUCCCUGAGCUGGGGCGCCGUCUCCUCGGGGCUCGCUCCACCUUUGAGCAGCUUCAGGAGGGCAAGAAAGGUCAGACCGGGCGGAACGGCGGCGCCAGCGCCACCCAGGCCCUACUGGGCACCCGGAAGUGUCCGCCCUGCCUCUCAUCCCUGUCCCUCCGCCUUCCUUACUCCGGCGUUACCUGCGAAGACCCGGGCUCGGGUGGAAUCAGACGAGUCUUCGGGAUUUCUUCGAGAACAUUCUAGAGAGAAGGCAAAAUUCACCUCUGAAUUUGGCUCGAAGAUUUAGAGCAGGAGAGGUGGCGGGACAGGAAGGUGCCAAAUAAUGCGCGUCUAGAAAGAACGAGGGUGCGCGUCCUGGUGGCGGCCUGGAGAACUAAGCGCUCUUUCUUCCCAACCUGGGACUGCGCCGGAACCAGGUCACACUGCGAGCGUCGCCAGCUCGGUGCCUGCGGCUCCAGCUGGCCCACCCUCCCCGCCAGGCCACCGGCCAGAACAAAAGGCGCGGCCGGACUUCCAGGAGGAGCAUGGGCCUGCGAGUGACCAGCGAAACGAUCCGAGUGCGAGGCGCACCCGCCCGCGCGCUCCAGCCACACCCACCCACCCCGACUUCGAAAUUAGGAAGCCCAAUUCGGCACCCCGAUUAUGGCUGUGAAUGUCCCGAGUGACCCCCAAAUCCGUGCCCCGCCGUCUCCGAGCCUCCCUGGCGUCUCCUGGGGCGCGGGGCGUCGGGGGCGCGGAGGCCCGAGGUCGGGACGCACGCCAAGGCCCUUCUCCCCCCGCAUCUCCUCUUUCUUUCCCUUUCUCUCCUCCCUUCGGAAUCUCUGUCCUCUGCUUGCUCCAGUCCCCACAGGAAGAGGACUGGGAACGCAGCGAUUACAAGGCGACGUGCCUUCUCCCCCGUCCCGGACACGCCGGCCCUGGGCUCGCCAAGGGGAAGGGUCCGUUCAGCUUGUUACCGAGCCGCCCGGACUGAAGCGAAGGGCGCGGGAGCCGGGGCGUCCCGGGGGCGACCCCGCGGGCCCUAGCUCUUUCGGCGAUGGGCGUGAGCCGGGUGAGGUCCCCGUGAGCAAAGUGCAUUUGGAUGGGGGCGCUGGAGCGCGCGGCUCGGCUUGUUGGCUUGUUCGCGCGUUGUCGCCAGCGCCGUGUUUCUUGUCCCUGGCGCCAGCUCGGUGCCAUCCCAGUGAGUUUGAUUGAAACACGGCUGCAAGAAGGUGUCGAGCAGGGAACGCGGCUUGCAAGGCGGGAGGGGCGAGUAAAGGGACCCGGAGAGGCUCUGGAAGGCAGCGGCAGGUCACGCCGCGCGGCGCUGCUCGGGGACUGCUAUUUUGAAACCGGGUUGCUGUCCCCUCCAGGGCGCAGGAUGCAAGGGUCAAGUGUCACUUCCUCUGGCAGUCAAUCUCCAAUAUUCCUUGUAAUGUUCCUAAAUGGACGAAUUCAUUACGCGCGGACAUGUGAAUGGGGGGAGGCCGCCGGCGCGCCUGGUCAAUAGCGUCCACUAAUCGUUCAUUUUGCACUGCGGAGCGCGGGCCCUUGGAACCAAAGGAGGAGCCUAAUCAAUAUUGUUUACUUCCUCGCCGCUGCCGGCGUAAAGGUCACUUAGGGAAGGCGGGAAAGUGCAGGCACCCGACAGGUCCUAAUUGUCUCCCUGCUUUUCCCUGGGUCGGUUUCCCCUCGGACCUCCUCCACCCUCUGUCCGCCUUUCAAACGCAGUCUCGGCCGCUGCGGCGCGGUGGAGGGACCCGUCUCCGCCACAGCCGCUGCACGUCCCCGGUCCCCGUGCACACGCGCCCCCGGGCGCGCACAAGGCGCCCACUCUCGGAUCCACGUGCUGGCGGCCAAGGCGGCGGGAUUCAACCCAGUCUCACAGCGGCGGCGGCGUUUCAAAGGGUGUGGGGAGGGGGAGUUGCUUUUUAAGCAGGGGGCUUAGCUGAAAGGAAAGCUCCGGGGUGAGCCGGGCCCCCGACUCUCCCUGAAAUUUUUAAGAGGAAGCGCUGAGUAAAAUUAAAAGGAAACCGCGUCUGGAUCCUCCCUGCUGGGCCACCCCCUUCCGUCCCCAACCCCACCAGGAUCAGAGAGGGCCGGGAGUGGGAGCACACAGGACUUCACGAUGCCCUCACACAGCACCCAGAGAUCCCUGGGAGGAGAUUCAAAAUUAUCCAGGAAAGAAUGGGGGUGGGAGGGGGAGAGCCUGCCCUGGCUCAGCCGUGGCCAGGGCUUCCCCAAGGCGGUCCUAGACCUCAGAGAGGGAAGCUUCUCCUGGUACGUUUAAAGCAGUGUUGGCAACAGAGCACAUGGUUGAACAAAUUCCCUGUUGACCUGCUGGAUUCCUGGUGAAAAGUAGUGACUGUCCCCUAGAAGCCCCCCAUCCCUGCCCACCUCAAAACCAGAAAGCUGUGUCUCCCGUUCCUUCCCUUCCUGGGCUUCCCAGAGGAAGGAGACGGAGGCAGAGGGGGCUCCAUAGACUCGAGCUGCCAGGGGACCUUGAACGGUUAUCUGCCCCACUGAAAUCUAUGUAGCUCGGGUUAUACGUGGCCGCCUUCACACACGUGUUUCCUAAAGGAGAUGUGCGGAUGCGAUAAAGGACAGACUAGAGACAAAUCCUGCUGGGCUGAAGAGAGACGUGAGUGGCUCAGGUUACCCCAGGGGGUGCGGCGGCAGCGGGCACUGCUUCUGGGAGUUGACAGUGGGGCUGGGGGAAGAGAGGGUCCUUGGUGUGCUUUCUGCAAGCAAUGGAAGGGGCAGCCCUUGGUUCCCUUGUGCUGUUGCUGACAGAACUGAGACCCAGACGUAGGUAGGCGGCAUCUUUGCUUCCUUCAGACAUGGGAGGAUAAAGCAGAGAGGAAGUAAGCGGCACACCAGUUAAGACAGUUGUUACGUGGUUGUCGUGGAGGUUUUGCGUUUCCAUCGCUCUAAGUGUUAGAUGCAUCUAUUCCCCCCAAAGGCCCUUUUUAAAAAGUUAGCUGUGAAGAUGUGGGAAUACUGGUUCUUUAAGAGGGACUCCUUCUGGGUUUAUGGUCAGAUGGCUCCUCUUCCCUCACAUGCGAGUGUUAGUUUGAGCAGGGUGCUUUCACCUGUUUGCAAUUUGAUUUGCCUGGAAAUGCGCCUCUCUGGAGAAGGCACAGGUUUCCCUGGCUCCAUUUCCAAUGGUGUGCAGGUCAUAAAUGAGGUUAUUUCCAAACCUAUUUGUAUUCUCUGUCAUUUGGUUGCACUCGGUGAAGAAAGGAGCAAUUGGCUUCAUUUACGAAAGUGGCAGGUAUAAAUAGGAAAAUGAGAAAUAAUGCGACGAAGCUAAACCAUUUGCCAAAUCAAACCCUGAACUUCUUCACAAAAUUCCAAACUACUAUUUGUUCGAUCUUCGAUUACAAUAUUAAAAAGGACCGGGGGACUUUGGUGCCAGUAUUCUCUAUAAGGCAAGCCCUUUUACACUUUCCCACAAAAUACAUUCUUUUUCUUGAAUUGUCUCUAAUCAAGCUACCCAAAAAUAUGAAGGCUGUGUCCUCCUUGUCCUGCUUCCUGUACCAAAACCCUCUAAGGUCAAGCACUGGCUUUUUAUUUAUACACACGAAAAUUUCUUCUAAGAAUGGAGUUUUCAUACACAAUGUGUCUGGACACGAAGCAAAUGUUGUUUUAGGGGAAGGUUCUACUAACAGCCCCACUUAUGCAAAAGCACAUGAGAGCGGAAAGGAUAAUUUCUGUUAGUUAACAUCUUGGAGCAAGAAAAUUAAAAACAAAUAUUUAACUUCCCAAUUUGGAAUUUGGGCUGGCACCUGACUGUGAAACUUCUACAAAUGCAUACUCAAUGAGUUAAAUGCAGUCUUUCCAAGCCAAAUAAAACCGCCUUCAUGUGGUUCAAAAAUAAGAUGGAAUAAACUGAAAGAUAAAUAAAAUGCGUGGAGACGCCCGGGGAGAGAGCUGAUGGGUGUGAACUUGCCCAGAGACAGCGUUUGGACUCUGCUCAAUGCCUGGGUUGAAGACGCUCAAUAAAGCUCCAUUUAGAGACGAUCAAGGGGAAAUAAACACACGUAUCUACAAACA